AGCGAACGCUGGCGGCAGGCUUAACAUAUGCAAGUCGAGCGGGCAUCUUCGGGUGUCAGCGGCGGACGGGUGAGUAACGCGUGGGAACGUGCCUUCUGGUUCGGAAUAACUCAGGGAAACUUGAGCUAAUACCGGAUACGCCCUUUUGGGGAAAGGUUUACUGCCGGAAGAUCGGUCCGCGUCUGAUUAGCUAGUUGGUGGGGUAACGGCCUACCAAGGCGACGAUCAGUAGCUGGCCUGAGAGGAUGAUCAGCCACACUGGGACUGAGACACGGCCCAGACUCCUACGGGAGGCAGCAGUGGGGAAUAUUGGACAAUGGGCGCAAGCCUGAUCCAGCCAUGCCGCGUGAGUGAUGAAGGCCUUAGGGUUGUAAAGCUCUUUUAUCCGGGACGAUAAUGACGGUACCGGAGGAAUAAGCCCCGGCUAACUUCGUGCCAGCCGCCGCCGUAA
This 451-nucleotide ribosomal RNA is filed under the name uncultured bacterium. Its description in RNAcentral is "partial 16S ribosomal RNA". It matches the Rfam family "Bacterial small subunit ribosomal RNA", at positions 29 to 523 of the family's 1533-position model. The record is from RNAcentral.